Molecule: long non-coding RNA, 6619 nt
Organism: Aedes albopictus (Asian tiger mosquito)
Lineage: Eukaryota; Metazoa; Arthropoda; Insecta; Diptera; Culicidae
Exons: 2
Source: RefSeq, a predicted model, not a curated record
GACUUAGAACAAUUUGGAAAUAUCUUGUAAGCUGUUGCCGAGGCUGUUGCAGCCAAUUUCAAACUCAGUAAGAAAAAUCUAAACCUUUCAUUAUUAAAAUCUUCAAGCAUCGAUGGAACAAGCAGUUUUGCAAAAAUUUUCCAAAUUACCACUACCAUCAUCUAGGGCUGCGGAUCCGCAAGUGAGUCCCAGCUUUUUGGAAAGUGGUUUUUCUGUCAGCUGAUCGAUGCCGUGCUAGUGUUGCUGAUCAUGGUGCUUCCUGUCGCAUCUAAUGGAUUAGCAGGCUAUGAUCACCAGCGAUCGCUGAUCGGAAGAGGAACCAUCACAUGGGAGAAACACACUUAGCAUCCACAUACAAUCAUAGCACCAGUAGUUUGUCAACAUUUAUCGCCCUCAAUUUAAUAUAUUGUACAUGAAGAAUAAUUUUAUGUAUCAAUAAAAUAUGUAUGUUUUCUUUAUUCAUUAUGAAUUUGCUAUUUUUCUAUGAGAAAAAUCAAAAUAGGAAUGAUCCAAACAAAUCUACAAAACUGAGUAAAAAACGACUCACUUUGCUAAUUUCCUAUAAAUUAAAAAUGAGUACGAGUUACUCUAAUUCGAAGAAAAUCUCAUAUUACUCUAAAGUGAGUAACUGCCAUUUACUCUCUUUUGAGCUGUUCCACUUUGUACCAAAGUGAGUCGAAUUCUACUCACUUUAGAGUAGUUUUCAACGAGCGUGUUCAAUGUUUCCAUAAAACGGUCAACUAUUGAUCAAUAUAUGCAUCGUGUGAUUGGCGCCAUGUGAAGCCAAAAAUACCUUAUCGAACCGUCAAACUGGUAUCCUAAUGAACAAAAUCAACAAACCUUGACGAUUGCCGCAAAAGUGAAGAUAAGUAUUGCACUCAUUUCAAGCAAAUUUUCACCAAAAUAUCCAAAUUUAUUAUGGAUAACAGUGCAAACAACAUUGAAUUCUUGAAUAAUUGAAAAUUGUUCCAUUUUGGAACAUCAGUUCGAUAAUUCCUAGUUAAUACAACAACAGUAUAAAAAGUUUUCAAAUGCGGUAUGCGCGAUAGGCACUACCUUCGAUGGGUGGAUUAAUUUGCUUUGCGACAGUUGCCAGCAUCCGAGCAAUGAAAUCAAAACAGAAAAAGUGUUGCCGUUCAGGCGGCUGUUCACUCUUCGCUUCUCUACACUCAAAAUAAUCCAAACGUCGAUGCUACGUGAAAAAUCACGUAACCUCUCGUUUUAGUCAUUCAACUUGAAUUUACCGGAUCCACUUGACGCUCAUGUUGCGCCUCAGUUAACGGCACUGAUGUUUUGAGUAAGAGCUACGUGACUUUCCACGUAACAAAUUUCCGCCUGAGUUUCACGUCAAUGCUACGUGGUUAUUAGGUGGAAAUGAGUGCUUCACCACCACUCACGAAUGUAAACAAUAAUUUCUAACCUAACAUCUUAGUCAGCAAGUAACAACAGCAGCCAUCACUUAGGUUUCUCGAGUAUCUACAGGUAUUUUUGUAAUUAUUUAUAACUUUUUCGUGACGCAAUGCAAAGAUAACGUUGAAUUUCAGGUACGGAGAGCGCUGACCAGAAGCACUGGAGUCCAGAAUAUGCCGAGUUCUAGUGGAUUCAAAGUCAUUCGUCCUGUUGAUGUUACUGAGGGCUGAAAAUUGUGUUAUUCUUCAAAUUAAAAGUGUAUGUUCGUGUUUGAUUGAAACAUAUUCACAUAUGUAUAAAAAGUUGACAAUUUCUUUUUCAUAUAAAGCUUUUGAAAAGAAAAUAUAAUUCAAAGGAAAACAGGCAAUAAUCAUUAAUGGUGUCCAGUUAAACUCAUCUUAACUUCCACAUAGCUGUUAUGUGAAAUCUUAGUGACCUCGAGAUACCCAGGCAUUGAGUUCCGUCACUCACAGUUCACGUAGCUGUUACGUGGAAAGUGCGAUGGAAAAAAUCUACGUAUGUUUUCACGUAGCAUCGACGUGAAGAUUUUUUGGAGUGUACCUAUUUUCUCUGCUCAAACCGCGUAAACAAACAGGUUAACGGGACGCCUUACACACCAAUCUAAAAAGAGCAAUUUUCAUAAAAAUAUAGUUCAACAACGAAUUUAAAAAUUUUAUUUGCACAAUUUUCACUCUAUACUGUUUUAUUUUUGUGUAUUAUGAACAUUACUGUUAUGAACUCGGUUAUGAAUUGGAAGGAAAAGUAUCUCAACAAUAUGCGCCCGAGGGGGGCGACACAUCUAAAUCUCCGAAUAGAUGUCAACGAAGAUCUACAUUUUUAGAUGAGUGUGCUACUUGCAAGAUUUUCGGAUCUACUUUGCACUGCAUCCACUUUCAAAUCCUGCCGAGCGCUGCUUUAGAUAGGAGGAAAUGUGAGUGGAUGGGAUGUAGAUAAGCGAACACUGAAAAAAAUUUUUUUGUGGAAACUACCGAUUCCAUAGUAAAAUUACUAACCGUACCUAUGAUUCUCAACCGACAACAAAAUCUGUUAAGGUAACUGAAAUAUGCUUGGAAUUACAAUGCAUUGUAGUAAAUUUAACUAAAUGCAUAGUUAUCUCAACAACAAAACAUUGUUAAUUUUUCCAGGAUACGCAUUUUACAACACAGUAGGGUUAAAAAUACAAUGCUCAUUUCUAGAUUGAGUUUAAAUAAGGGCGAAAGUAACAUGAGAGAGUUCUCUUCAUCGACUCUCUCUUCUUCAAAUUAAAGUGACAAGAUGCAAGUAUUGUUGAACUUUUUGGUCAUAAAUCGCUAGGUUGCGAUGCAAUCUAGCGUCUAAGUGUAAAAAAGUUCGAUUAAAUUUGCAUCUUGUCACUUUAAAUGGCAGAAGAGAGAGUCGAUGAAGAGAACUCUCUCAUGUUAGUUUCGCCCUUAUUUAAACUCAAUCUAGAUUUGUUAAAUUAAGAUUAUUUUUGGUUAUGUUAACUGCACUGCUAGUUAAGUUGACAAUGUUUUAGUGGAAUUAACUGGAAAUUGUUGUUGGUUGAGAAUCAUAGGUACGGUUAGUAAUUUUACUAUGGAAUCGGUAGUUUUCACAACAAAAUUUAUUUCAGUGAAGGCCAGUUAAGUACAGAAUGUGAAAAGGGUUUAUUUGGUUGUUACAAAUAAUUACGUUCAGAGGUUUUCUCAACCUUUUCAACUUUGUCCACGCAAACUAAGUUCAGUAACACAUACAUUACAUAUUUAUCAAAGUAUUUACCUAUAUUUUAUUUAAGCUAAGUUGCAUAAUUAUAUCAAAAGCGCCACAAAAUAAACGUAUAUGUGAGCUGGUGCAAAAAAACAGUCUCUUUUUAAAAGUGUGUGAUAGCAGAACAAAAUGUAAAUAAUGCCCUUGAUGCCUAAUCAUUUUCAAAGUUUUUGCCGGUUUAUGUUUUCAAAAUAGACAAGGCCUGCAGUUCAGUAGCGGAAUCUUCCAGCCACCUCUACCGGUAAACUCCUCAUUAUCUCCGACCAGCAAAACUUCCAGCAAUUUCUUAUGGAAAUUGUGUAGGACCCAAUAUCCGGUUCCGGUUCCUUGACCUGAGCAAAAGUUUUGUAACUAGCAGGUAGGGUUACCAUCCGUCCUGAUUUAGCAGGACAUGUCCUGAUUUUCGAAUAAUUUUGGCCAAAAUUUCUUAACAAAUCUGAUGAGUUUUACUCAUUUUCGAGAAAAUACAUGAAAUGUCCUGAUUUUCUAUUCUGUUUUGAUGGGAGCCCUACUAGCAGGCUAUCGUACUUACUUAAAUAAAUUACAAAUUAAAUUAGAUGGAAAAAAUCAACAAUUUAUUCUGAAGAAUUCAGCGGUAAUUCGUUCCCGGGAAUGCUCCAGCUACUCCUUCCGGUGAAUUUUUCAGCAGUUCUUUCUGGCCGGGGAAUUCUUCAGUUCUUAACUUUCGAGAAUGUUUAGGCCAAUGAGCAAAUCUUGUCGAUAAACCCUUCAGUAACUUCUUCCUGAAAAUUCAUUUUUUUGCAAUUCCUUCAAAAAAAACGGCAAAUCCUCCAAAGAUUACAACUGUCAUUAUCUCCAGGCAACCCACCAGCAAUAGGGUCCUAAAAUUAAAGACGAAAUCUCGCUUAUAUUGAAUAAUACGAUCAAGCAUGGUAUUCUAAUCGAAAUUGUACUUUACUCGAACUUGAAAAACAAAGGAAUAAUGAGAAAAUUCGAAAUAAGUAAAAUGGUAAGUAGUUCUACUUUGACAUUUGAGGUCUACCUAGUGUGACUGAGCUCGACAUUUUUCGCACUGGGAUUUCAAAAAUGAUCCUAUCUGACAUACACGGUGAAAAAAAAUUACUCAAAGUAUGUGUUAUAAGCUAGGGACGAGACAAAAGGAUAAAAAAAUAAAAUUAUAUAUUUUCAACUACGGUUAAUAAAAACGUCAAAAAUUGAGUAAAUAUGUACUCUUGAACCAUAUAUUGUGGUUUAAAACAAGAAACUCGAUAGGACUUUAGGAGCCUAUUCCUUCCAGAUAAUCAUUAUCCGGAGAAAUUCUUGAAGGAACUCCCGGAGGACUUCCCGAAAGAACUCCUGGAAGAAUUCACUUAAGGCUCGACUUAAGGAAUCCCAAAAAAAAUCCCGAUGCAACUCCUGAAGCGAUCCCUGAAGGAACUGAUAAAAAGAUUCUUACUCCGAAGAUGAGUAAUUUAAUAUACCGUGGAGGGCCCAUAUUCUGCGCACCUAAGACUUUUCCAAUUUCAAUCAGCUGUAAUAAAUUCCAAAUUAAACCGAUUUGGCUGAAUUUUUGACCGCACAUAGUUAUUAGCUUUGUAAAUAAGGGAAAAAUAUAAUUCUUAUACAAAACACUAUAUUUUUAUGUAAAAUCAUGAAAAUUCUAAAGUGUGUCUUUGUUCCUAAUUCUGCGCACCCUUUUCUGAAAUGUUCCUUAUUCUGCGCACUAUUGUUCCUAAUUCUGCGCACAUGGGAAAAACUCUAAAAAUAUAACAUAUUGUAAUGAAAACAUAAUUCAUAGAUCAAAUUCAGUUGAAUUCUUCAUUUUCAACUUUUAUACGACAUUACGAUCAUAUUGGAACUUUGCUUGCAUUGAUACUACCCACUUUUAUUACUAAGCAAAGGGAAUUUCAAUCAUAAUACACAAAAGGAUUUUGUAGCAUUAGCAUUAUCGAACACUACUAUGUAAAGUUUUUUAGUUAUCCGCAUAUGCACAUAUUAGUAAACUUUACUUUCAUUUCUAAAGGCAUUAUAAACUUUUUCGCCAUGACAAGGUGGCACAAUCUUUGUUUGCAAACUGAGACUUCUUUCUUGUCUAACUCCAGGGUUUCCAUUGUUUAAGAAAAUUCCAUGUAAACUCACAUCAUAUAUCGCAUUUGACAAAUGCUUGCAUGAAUACAUAAAAUUUCCCCCGAGGUUGAUAGCAAAUGUUCAAAACAAGUGGUUAGUCCGGUCGAACUAUCAGAUCAAAAAUGCAAGAAUCGUAAAUUAGCCUUCAAAGUUUAAAAAAUAACUUGUUGAGACGUAAUUACAUUCACCAGAUUGCUAGAAACAUAGAAUAUCCUAGUUUUAACUAUGGUGGCAUUUAUAUGAUGUUUGUUUAUUAAUUAUAUGUUUAAAACUUAGUGUUGAAAUGUCUGCGCAGAAUUAGGACCACUAUUUAAUACCGGUUCCUAAUUCUGCUCACCUAAGAAGAACAAGAAGAUUAAGAAAGGAAGAAGAAAACUCUUUUGUUUUUUGUCGAUUCUGAUUCCUCGAAGACAGCAGUACAGGAUGCGCAUGGAAAAGCAGACAUUCUCUUCAUUAUUUAUGUCGCAAAAUGCUUCAGCUCAUGAGGCAACUUUUUAGUGGCUUCGCUAACGGACACAGAUUUCAGGCAAUUUCUAGUACUUGCAACAUCAUUUUAUUUUUUUACAAAAUAAUGGUCGUUGAUUUGAAAAAAAAUUCUUCACAAACUUUUUCCAUUACUAUUGAAACAAUAUUCAAAAAAUAUAUUUGAAGCUAAUAUUGAACUAGCGUCCGUGAUUUUGUGGUAUAUUCGCGAUAGUGCGCCGAAUUAGGGACUGCGCAGAAUUAGGGCCGGUCACGGUACCCCUGAGAAAAAAAAAUAUAGGCAGUUUUUUCGCUACCGCCGUCCGGUGCAGACGUAGGCAAAUGUGUUCUUCGCGUGUUCCAUUGUCAACAGCUUGGGCUGUAUAGAACCCAGUUUUCGAGCGCGCUUUGUACCCGGUCGUUCACAUUAUAUACAUACGUUUCUCGGUGUUGCUUUCUGUACCAAAAAACAGCAACCAUCCGUCAUGAGCGAAAUGAUAGUGAACACUGUGCAGUUUCGUUUCCCAGCCGGUAGUCCUCGCCCGGCAUGGAUUGAAAUUGCGAAAUUUUUAAAACGGCUGGACACAGAUCUGAUGAUGGUGGAAACAACAUAUAGAACGGCAGAAGAACGAUCGCUGUUCAUAAAGUUUACAUCGCAGGAGGCUAUGCAGGACGCUUUAAGAGCCGAUGCACACGAGCGUUAAUUGACGCUGCGUGAAUUCACGCUGCGUUGCCGCAGCGUUCCUGUGGGGCAUGCGUUGACAUUGCGUGCCGCACACGGUGCGGCGCGGUUGCGGUGCGGUAGCGUUGCGUUCUCGUGUGCAUCCUCCCAUUUGAUUGUGUGUAACUCAGGACGCACUUGCGUGCACGCUGCGUGGACGCGCCGCCCGUGUGCAUCGGCUCUAAGGAAAAA